AGAAUGACUCUCGGCAACGGAUAUCUAGGCUCUUGCAUCGAUGAAGAACGUAGCGAAAUGCGAUACUUGGUGUGAAUUGCAGAAUCCCGUGAACCAUCGAGUUUUUGAACGCAAGUUGCGCCCGAUGCCAUUAGGUUGAGGGCACGUCUGCCUGGGUGUCACAUA
RNAcentral lists this ribosomal RNA (165 nucleotides) under Medicago sativa (alfalfa). RNAcentral describes it as "5.8S ribosomal RNA". It matches the Rfam family "5.8S ribosomal RNA". From Rfam's summary of the family: 5.8S ribosomal RNA (5.8S rRNA) is a component of the large subunit of the eukaryotic ribosome. It is transcribed by RNA polymerase I as part of the 45S precursor that also contains 18S and 28S rRNA. Functionally, it is thought that 5.8S rRNA may be involved in ribosome translocation. The record is from RNAcentral. Lineage: Eukaryota; Viridiplantae; Streptophyta; Magnoliopsida; Fabales; Fabaceae.